Molecule: small nuclear RNA, 104 nt
Organism: Nycticebus coucang (slow loris)
Lineage: Eukaryota; Metazoa; Chordata; Mammalia; Primates; Lorisidae
Source: RefSeq, a predicted model, not a curated record
GUGCUCACUUUGGCAGCAUAUAUACUAAAAUUGGAACGAUACAGAGAUUAGUGUGGCCCCUGCACAAGGAUGACAUGCAAAUUAGUGAAGCAUUCCGUACAUUU